RNAcentral lists this ribosomal RNA (498 nucleotides) under uncultured bacterium. Its description in RNAcentral is "partial 16S ribosomal RNA". It matches the Rfam family "Bacterial small subunit ribosomal RNA", at positions 30 to 523 of the family's 1533-position model. The record is from RNAcentral.
AUUGAACGCUGGCGGCAUGCCUUACACAUGCAAGUCGAACGGUAACAGGUCUUCGGAUGCUGACGAGUGGCGAACGGGUGAGUAAUACAUCGGAACGUGCCCGAUCGUGGGGGAUAACGAAGCGAAAGCUUUGCUAAUACCGCAUAAGAUCUAAGGAUGAAAGCAGGGGACCGCAAGGCCUUGCGCGAACGGAGCGGCCGAUGGCAGAUUAGGUAGUUGGUGGGAUAAAAGCUUACCAAGCCGACGAUCUGUAGCUGGUCUGAGAGGACGACCAGCCACACUGGGACUGAGACACGGCCCAGACUCCUACGGGAGGCAGCAGUGGGGAAUUUUGGACAAUGGGCGCAAGCCUGAUCCAGCCAUGCCGCGUGCAGGAUGAAGGCCUUCGGGUUGUAAACUGCUUUUGUACGGAACGAAAAGACUCUGGUUAAUACCUGGGGUUCAUGACGGUACCGUAAGAAUAAGCACCGGCUAACUACGUGCCAGCCGCCGCUGUAA